This 329-nucleotide ribosomal RNA is filed under the name uncultured eukaryote. RNAcentral describes it as "partial 18S ribosomal RNA". It matches the Rfam family "Eukaryotic small subunit ribosomal RNA", at positions 1470 to 1796 of the family's 1831-position model. The record is from RNAcentral.
UCCUUAGAUGUUCUGGGCUGCACGCGCGCUACACUGAUGCACUCAACGAGUUUACGACCUUGUCCGAGAGGAUUGGGUAAUCUUUUUAAAAUGCAUCGUGAUGGGGAUAGAUUAUUGCAAUUAUUAAUCUUCAACGAGGAAUUCCUAGUAAGCGCGAGUCAUCAGCUCGCACUGAUUACGUCCCUGCCCUUUGUACACACCGCCCGUCGCUCCUACCGAUUGAAUGUGUUGGUGAGGAGCUCGGAUUGGCAGCAGUUGGUGGUUCGCCACCGGCUAUUGCUGAGAAGUCCUCCAAACCGCCCCAUUUAGAGGAAGGAGAAGUCGUAACA